This 1959-nucleotide long non-coding RNA is filed under the name Daphnia magna. RNAcentral's name for it is "uncharacterized LOC123474427". The record is from RNAcentral. Lineage: Eukaryota; Metazoa; Arthropoda; Branchiopoda; Diplostraca; Daphniidae.
CUAAUCAGGUUAUUGGAUUGAACAACCUUGUAGUGAAAAACUUCUUGUUUCAGAGCUAUUAGGAGAAACCAGGAUAUUGGUCUGACAAGACAACGUAUACCGAGUGUCAACCCAAUAUCGUCAUCAAAGAUGGUUGGCUGGCAGUAAGCUAUUUUAGAUCUCCAUGAAAAGAAGGUAUUUUGGUAUGUAAGCUGAGACUGACGAGCUAAAUCGAACCAAAGGCUGUGGGUCUCAAAAACACAAACUACAACACAACAUUCUUUUAAAAGUAUUGUGACCAGAAUACAAAAGAGAACUCGAAUAACUUGAUGGCAAGGUAAAAAAUGUAGCCGUAGGCUUCAAAUCAAACCGCGGAAGGACAUUAGACCUAUAAAUAUAAAAAGGUUCCUACUAGCCUAGUUGCAUGAGGUGUCUAACUGUCUAUGUCACCAAAUUAGAGCUUUAAAUGGGUCUGGAUAAAAUACAAUCGUAUUCUGACCGCCUUUCGGCGAGAUGGGUGCAAGUAUACUUUAAAACAUAGCGGAAUGUACAAUCCGCCACACACAAAAAAAUGCAUUCAUUUCAUUUGCGAUUUUUGUGUUGAACAGUGUGGGACCCUGGGACGCAACAACUCAAAUUAAGCUAUAGUGUUAGCAAUUCUUUUAUUUUAAAUGAAUUCUUCCUCGUGCUCGUUUGCUCGGGGUAAUAAUAGUAAAACUCGUGUUGAGCAGGACCAUUUAUUAAAAACCAUGUACUGGUAAUGUCCAGUUUUAUCGUUGUGUCGAAUGAUUCUAAUAUCAGUAUUUUUUUCGAGGAAAGUGAAAAAAUGGAUUGAAUAGAAAUAGAUGUCUGGAUUAAUCAAGAAAAUAACGUUUGUUUAACGGUCACGCCUAUUUCCCCCCGGCAGCCGGGGGGCGCUAACGUCAAAUUUGUCUAUUUCCCCCCGGCAGCCGGGGGGCGCUAACAUCAAAAUAUGCUAUUGACCACCGGCCGGCUAAUAUGGCAAAUCAUGCACUCAGAAAUGCACCGAUGAAUACAAAUUACAAAAAAAACGUGCAUAAUUUUAGGCUCGCUGAAUUGAGAAGCGGCUUCCGUUUGAGAAUACCUGGUAGAAUAAAAAUAGAUAUAAAUUAGGUACCAUCAUCAUCCUGUGUUCCACAAACCUUAGGAUUGUUCCUAGGAUGCCACUCGUUUUACUUAUUUACUGGCAUUGGCAGAUCACACGGAAUAGGUCCACUACUACGAAAUCAUUUGCUUUCCGACAAUUGGGUGCUUGCAAACGACUACGGUAUCCAUCAACGGAAGGCGGAUUUCUAGGUAGGGGGGAAUCGCCGGUGCUGCUUGUUUGUAGUAACCCCACAUCCCUCAGGAGAAUUACGGGAAGGAUUCAUGAUUCAUCGGUAGGGCAGAGGAAGAUGUAACAAAUGACCUUCGUGCACCCAAAAUGAUUAUUUUUAAGUAAACACUUGAUGCUUGUUGAAAAAGCUAAAACAAUCGAUAAAGAUUUCUUUUGUUGGGUUUCUAUUUUUCAGGUUUACUCAGCAUGUGAUAAAAGAAACAAACGCUUGUCACGUAUCAAUGGGUGGAACCACGCACUUGCCGGGAUGAUUUGCCUUCGUUUGCCAAAUUGCCAUCGGGUGCAGAACACAGAAAAUGUCCGCCAUGCAAUCCAGGGAUGCAGAUGUAUUAUACAACUGGUACCUGCCCUUUCUGUCCCUCCGGAAGCAUUUCGGACGGAGUACGGCCCUGUCGAUCAUGUCCACCAUAUACAGCACCCAAUACAGGAUUCCAAUUUAUCUGGUGGAGUGCUCUUCCUGGAGUUAUGUCUUCACGCUGCAUGAGUCUAGAAGGUUAAUUCUUUUUUUUCGGAUUCGCAACAAGGAUUUUUCUGUAUUGCUUUCUUUACCUACGUUGCCUUUUGUUUCCAAAUCCCUUAAGCAGUUCAUUUCUAAAAAAUGUAAUAAAAUAUAUGAAACUGAA